Molecule: ribosomal RNA, 465 nt
Filed under: Vreelandella stevensii
Lineage: Bacteria; Pseudomonadati; Pseudomonadota; Gammaproteobacteria; Oceanospirillales; Halomonadaceae
Description: partial 16S ribosomal RNA
Rfam family: Bacterial small subunit ribosomal RNA
Source: RNAcentral
CCUACGGGGGGCUGCAGUGGGGAAUAUUGGACAAUGGGCGAAAGCCUGAUCCAGCCAUGCCGCGUGUGUGAAGAAGGCCUUCGGGUUGUAAAGCACUUUCAGUGGGGAAGAAAGCCUUGGGGCUAAUACCCUCGAGGAAGGACAUCACCCACAGAAGAAGCACCGGCUAACUCCGUGCCAGCAGCCGCGGUAAUACGGAGGGUGCGAGCGUUAAUCGGAAUUACUGGGCGUAAAGCGCGCGUAGGCGGUCUGAUAAGCCGGUUGUGAAAGCCCCGGGCUCAACCUGGGAACGGCAUCCGGAACUGUCAGGCUAGAGUGCAGGAGAGGAAGGUAGAAUUCCCGGUGUAACGGUGAAAUGCGUAGAGAUCGGGAGGAAUACCAGUGGCGAAGGCGGCCUUCUGGACUGACACUGACGCUGAGGUGCGAAAGCGUGGGUAGCAAACAGGAUUAGAUACCCUUGUAGUC